Molecule: long non-coding RNA, 297 nt
Filed under: Olea europaea subsp. europaea
Lineage: Eukaryota; Viridiplantae; Streptophyta; Magnoliopsida; Lamiales; Oleaceae
Source: RNAcentral
GAUCGUGGAGGAAGAACCAAUCACUAGAUCACGAGUAAAGAAGGUUAAAGAAGCCAUGCGAUUACUUGUUCAAGCUAUGGUGGAUGAAAUAUUGAUCAUAAUAAGCGAAAUGACAAGUUUCAUAUUGGGUAUGGGAGAAGAAAAGCGAUGGAUCAACUUAGUUCAAGCAACGGAAGAGGGAUCUGAAACGAAGGCUUAUGCGACCGCAUAGUACAAAAUUACAUGCGGCCGCAUGUACCCAUAUAGAAAACUCAGCUGAAGAUGAGGAAUGACCUAUGCAACUGCAUUUACUAGACC